AUUGAAUGCUGGCGGCAGGCCUAACACAUGCAAGUCGGGCUAGCGUCGGACGGGUGAGUAAUUUAUGGUGAUCUCCCUGAUGGAGGGGGAUAACUACUGUAAACGGUAGCUAAUACCGCAUACAAUCAGAUGUGCCCAGAUGGAAUUAGCUAGUCGGUGGGGUAAUGGCUCACCUAGGCGACGAUCCCUAGCUGGUCUGAGAGGAUGACCAGCCACACUGGAACUGAGACACGGUCCAGACUCCUACGGGAGGCAGCAGUGGGGAAUAUUGCACAAUGGGCGCAAGCCUGAUGCAGCCAUGCCGCGUGUAUGAAGAAGGCCUUCGGGUUGUAAAGUACUUUCAGCGAGGAGGCGUUACUCGCAGAAGAAGCACCGGCUAACUCCGUGCCAGCCGCCGCGGUAAUUC
RNAcentral lists this ribosomal RNA (406 nucleotides) under uncultured bacterium. Its description in RNAcentral is "partial 16S ribosomal RNA". It matches the Rfam family "Bacterial small subunit ribosomal RNA", at positions 30 to 526 of the family's 1533-position model. The record is from RNAcentral.